Long non-coding RNA from Antechinus flavipes (yellow-footed antechinus), 484 nucleotides. RefSeq lists it as uncharacterized. The record is from RefSeq and is a predicted model, not a curated record. The transcript is spliced from 5 exons. Lineage: Eukaryota; Metazoa; Chordata; Mammalia; Dasyuromorphia; Dasyuridae.
GGUGGAGCCGAGCGGCGGAGGCAGGGAAAGUUCAGGCAGCAGUGAGAACAGCAGGAGCAGCCACCACCGCCGCCGCCGCUGCCGCCGCCGCCCGAGCCUGGGGAAGCAGCGAAAGGAGAUGCGGCCAUGUGGAUUCUGGAGGAUUUGACAUUUAAGUGAAUUUUCAAUUAAAGGUUUCUUUAGAUUUCAAGGGGGAACAAUUAAGAUGCUUUUUACCUAGAAGAGGAAUGAUGCUGUUUCAUCCCGAUGACUUUUUUCCUGUUCUGAGGAAAGCUUGCUGGUUGGGCCAUUUCCUUGGCUGAAACAUCGGCGAAACGGAAAGCUGGCGAUUUAGAAAUCUAAACCUCUGCUGGCACUUAGGAGCCCCAAUGGAGGGGUCUACCUGGUCUUCCUUGAUGAUGUGCCCUACCCCGAGAAGGCUAGGAUGAGAGAGACUGUAGGGGCCCGGAGGUGUUGCUCAGCUAUUGUCCCAGCCUCCCAGCCC